UACGUAGGGGGGCAAGCGUUGUCCGGAAUCAUUGGGCGUAAAGCGCGUGUAGGCGGCCCGGUAAGUCCGCUGUGAAAGUCGGGGGCUCAACCCUCGGAUGCCGGUGGAUACUGUCGGGCUAGAGUGCGGGAGAGGCGGAGUGGAAUUCCUGGGUGUAGCGGUGAAAUGACGCAGAGUAUCAGGAGGAACACCAAUUGCGAAGGCAGCUCACUGGAACGUUACUGACGCUGAGACGCGAAAGCGUGGGGAGCAAACAGG
RNAcentral lists this ribosomal RNA (258 nucleotides) under uncultured bacterium. Its description in RNAcentral is "partial 16S ribosomal RNA". It matches the Rfam family "Bacterial small subunit ribosomal RNA", at positions 524 to 776 of the family's 1533-position model. The record is from RNAcentral.